RNA transcript from Abrus precatorius (Indian licorice), 1817 nucleotides. It is a transcript of the gene named NADP-dependent glyceraldehyde-3-phosphate dehydrogenase-like, with no coding region annotated. NCBI's taxonomy places the organism in Eukaryota, Viridiplantae, Streptophyta, Magnoliopsida, Fabales, Fabaceae. The record is from RefSeq and is a predicted model, not a curated record. The transcript is spliced from 10 exons.
AUCUGAAUCCUCCAAAAUAAUAAUAACCAACCAACCACAUCAAUAUCAAUAUAUAUAUGUGUGUAUGUGCAUGAUCAAAAGUCCAAACCUCAAAUCAAAUCAAAUCACUUGUUCAAGAUGGCUGGUAGUGGCACCUUUGCAGAGAUCAUAGACGGUGAUGUCUUCAAGUACUACUCGCAAGGCAAGUGGAACAAGUCCUCUUCUGGAAAAUCCGUUCCCAUCAUCAACCCCACCACUAGGAAGACCCACUUCAAGGUCCAAGCUUGUACCCAGGAAGAGGUUAAUAGGGCCAUAGAAUCAGCAAAAACAGCUCAAAAAUCAUGGGCCAAGACUCCACUGUGGAAAAGAGCAGAGUUGCUUCACAAGGCCGCAGCAAUACUGAAGGAGCACAAAGCACCUAUUGCUGAGUGUCUUGUCAAGGAAAUUGCAAAGCCUGCUAAGGAUGCUGUUACUGAAGUUGUGAGAUCAGGGGAUUUGGUGUCAUAUUGUGCUGAGGAAGGGGUGAGAAUUCUUGGGGAAGGAAAAUUUUUGGUCUCUGAUAGUUUUCCAGGCAAUGAAAGAACCAAAUACUGUCUCACUUCCAAGAUUCCACUUGGAGUUGUUUUGGCUAUUCCACCGUUUAACUAUCCUGUUAAUCUGGCUGUUUCAAAGAUUGCUCCAGCGCUUAUUGCUGGAAACUCCAUUGUGCUUAAACCCCCAACCCAGGGUGCUGUUGCUGCAUUACAUAUGGUGCAUUGCUUUCAUUUGGCUGGUUUCCCUGAAGGUCUUAUUGGCUGUGUGACUGGAAAGGGUUCUGAAAUUGGUGACUUUCUUACAAUGCAUCCAGGGGUGAACUGCAUAAGUUUCACUGGUGGGGACACUGGAAUAGCAAUAUCAAAGAAGGCUAGCAUGAUUCCUCUUCAAAUGGAGCUGGGUGGAAAAGAUGCCUGCAUUGUUCUUGAAGAUGCUGACUUGGAUUUGGCAGCUGCUAACAUUGUAAAAGGUGGCUUCUCCUACAGUGGUCAAAGAUGCACCGCUGUAAAGGUUGCUUUGGUCAUGGAAUCCAUAGCCAACACUCUUGUCAAGAAAGUCAAUGAUAAAGUUGCAAAAUUAACUGUUGGGCCACCUGAGGAUGACUGUGAUAUCACACCAGUAGUCACAGAGUCCUCUGCUAAUUUUAUUGAAGGGUUGGUGAUGGAUGCUAAGAAGAAAGGAGCAACAUUUUGCCAGGAAUAUAAAAGAGAGGGAAAUCUCAUAUGGCCACUGCUUUUGGAUAAUGUUCGUCCGGAUAUGAGGAUAGCAUGGGAGGAGCCAUUUGGACCAGUUUUACCAGUCAUCAGAAUAAAUUCUGUUGAAGAAGGAAUUCACCAUUGUAAUGCUAGCAAUUUUGGCCUUCAGCUGUCUUAAGAGGGAUGUGUCUUCACCAGGGACAUUAACAAAGCAAUGUUGAUAAGUGAUGCAAUGGAGACAGGAACAGUUCAAAUUAAUUCAGCACCAGCUCGUGGACCUGAUCACUUUCCUUUUCAGGGUCUGAAGGAUAGCGGAAUUGGUUCUCAAGGAAUCACCAACAGUAUUAACAUGAUGACCAAGAUAAAGACUACAGUAAUCAACUUACCGGCUCCUUCGUACACUAUGGGAUGAAAUGGCUAAUAACGUUAAGUUAGUGUUCCCAAUCUCACAUGCUUCAGCUUAGCCUUAUAGAGUGGAUUUAUGAGGGACAAUCUUUAAAGGAUCUACUUGCAUAUAAACAAUUUGUGUUGAUGUGGCUUGUAUUGUAUGGAGAAAAAACAAGACUACUUGUACACGUAGAAUAUGAAUCUUGAAUAAAUUAUGGUUCU